This 468-nucleotide ribosomal RNA is filed under the name uncultured bacterium. Its description in RNAcentral is "partial 16S ribosomal RNA". It matches the Rfam family "Bacterial small subunit ribosomal RNA", at positions 28 to 507 of the family's 1533-position model. The record is from RNAcentral.
GACGAACGCUGGCGGCGGGCUUAACACAUGCAAGUCGAACGGAAAGGCCCUGCUUUUGUGGGGUGCUCGAGUGGCGAACGGGUGAGUAACACGUGAGUAACCUGCCCUUGACUUUGGGAUAACUUCAGGAAACUGGGGCUAAUACCGUAUAGGAUCUCCUGCUGCAUUGUGGGGGUUGGAACGUUUCGGCUGUUGGGGAUGGACUCGCGGCUUAUCAGCUUGUUGGUUGGGUAGUGGCUUACCAAGGCUUUGACGGGUAGCCGGCCUGAGAGGGUGGCCGGCCACCUUGGGACUGAGAUACGGAGCAGAGUGCAACGGGGGGCAGCGGUGGGGAGUAUUGCACAAUGGGAGGACGCGUGAUGCAGAAACGUCGCGUGCGGGAUGACGGCCUGCGGGUUGUAAACAGCAUUAGCCUGUGACGAAGCGUGAGUGACGGUAAUGGGUAAAGAAGCACCGGCUAACUACGUG